UCGAACGGCAGCACGGGAGCAAUCCUGGUGGCGAGUGGCGAACGGGUGAGUAAUAUAUCGGAACGUGCCCAGUCGUGGGGGAUAACGUAGCGAAAGCUACGCUAAUACCGCAUACGAUCUAUGGAUGAAAGCGGGGGAUCGCAAGACCUCGCGCGAUUGGAGCGGCCGAUAUCAGAUUAGGUAGUUGGUGGGGUAAAAGCCCACCAAGCCGACGAUCUGUAGCUGGUCUGAGAGGACGACCAGCCACACUGGGACUGAGACACGGCCCAGACUCCUACGGGAGGCAGCAGUGGGGAAUUUUGGACAAUGGGCGCAAGCCUGAUCCAGCAAUGCCGCGUGCAGGAUGAAGGCCUUCGGGUUGUAAACUGCUUUUGUACGAACGAAACGGUGAGCUCUAAUACAGUUUGCUAAUGACGGUACCGUAAGAAUAAGCACCGGCUAACUACGUGCCAGCAGCCGCGGUAAUACGUAGGGUGCAAGCGUUAAUCGGAAUUACUGGGCGUAAAGCGUGCGCAGGCGGUUAUGUAAGACAGAUGUGAAAUCCCCGGGCUUAACCUGGGAACUGCAUUUGUGACUGCAUAGCUAGAGUACGGUAGAGGGGGAUGGAAUUCCGCGUGUAGCAGUGAAAUGCGUAGAUAUGCGGAGGAACACCGAUGGCGAAGGCAAUCCCCUGGACCUGUACUGACGCUCAUGCACGAAA
This 700-nucleotide ribosomal RNA is filed under the name uncultured Comamonadaceae bacterium. RNAcentral describes it as "bacterial SSU rRNA". It matches the Rfam family "Bacterial small subunit ribosomal RNA", at positions 62 to 758 of the family's 1533-position model. The record is from RNAcentral. Lineage: Bacteria; Pseudomonadati; Pseudomonadota; Betaproteobacteria; Burkholderiales; Comamonadaceae.